This 254-nucleotide unclassified non-coding RNA is filed under the name Hevea brasiliensis (rubber tree). Lineage: Eukaryota; Viridiplantae; Streptophyta; Magnoliopsida; Malpighiales; Euphorbiaceae. The record is from RNAcentral.
CUAACAGAGACUGCUGGUUUUAGCAACUCUGAUAAGGAUCAUUCAAAUUUUGAUAUUGUCGAGGAAAGAACUGAUAAAAUAGAAGAUGAUCUUCAGUCAGAUCAAGUUCCCACCUUGGCUAUUCAUGAAACGACAUCUCUCCAUAUUGCUUCUAAUGGACAGUCCAAUAAAGUAGUGGCAGCUUGUGCAUUGCUUCAUGGCUCCACGCAUUUGCAUGACCAGGAUGAGAGUCAUAUAAAUGGUGAGGUUGCGUC